AACGCUAGCUACAGGCUUAACACAUGCAAGUCGAGGGGCAGCAUUUCGCUAGCAAUAGUGAAGAUGGCGACCGGCGCACGGGUGAGUAACACGUAUCCAACCUGCCGAUAACUCGGGGAUAGCCUUUCGAAAGAAAGAUUAAUAUCCGAUGGUAUAUUAAGAUCGCAUGGUUUUACUAUUAAAGAAUUUCGGUUAUCGAUGGGGAUGCGUUCCAUUAGUUUGUUGGCGGGGUAACGGCCCACCAAGACUACGAUGGAUAGGGGUUCUGAGAGGAAGGUCCCCCACAUUGGAACUGAGACACGGUCCAAACUCCUACGGGAGGCAGCAGUGAGGAAUAUUGGUCAAUGGGCGAGAGCCUGAACCAGCCAAGUAGCGUGAAGGAUGAAGGCUCUAUGGGUCGUAAACUUCUUUUAUAUGGGAAUAAAGUUUUCCACGUGUGGAAUUUUGUAUGUACCAUAUGAAUAAGGAUCGGCUAACUCCGUGCCAGCAGCCGCGGUAAUACGGAGGAUCCGAGCGUUAUCCGGAUUUAUUGGGUUUAAAGGGAGCGUAGGUGGAUUGUUAAGUCAGUUGUGAAAGUUUGCGGCUCAACCGUAAAAUUGCAGUUGAAACUGGCAGUCUUGAGUACAGUAGAGGUGGGCGGAAUUCGUGGUGUAGCGGUGAAAUGCUUAGAUAUCACGAAGAACUCCGAUUGCGAAGGCAGCUCACUAGACUGUCACUGACACUGAUGCUCGAAAGUGUGGGUAUCAAACAGGAUUAGAUACCCUGGUUAGUCCACACAGUAAACGAUGAAUCCUCGCUGUUUGCGAUAUACAGUAAGCGGCCAAGCGAAAGCAUUAAGUAUUCCACCUGGGGGAGUACGCCGGCAACGGUGAAACUCAAAGGAAUUGACGGGGGCCCGCACAAGCGGAGGAACAUGUGGUUUAAUUCGAUGAUACGCGAGGAACCUUACCCGGGCUUAAAUUGCAACAGAAUAUAUUGGAAACAGUAUAGCCGUAAGGCUGUUGUGAAGGUGCUGCAUGGUUGUCGUCAGCUCGUGCCGUGAGGUGUCGGCUUAAGUGCCAUAACGAGCGCAACCCUUAUCUUUAGUUACUAACAGGUGAUGCUGAGGACUCUAGAGAGACUGCCGUCGUAAGAUGUGAGGAAGGUGGGGAUGACGUCAAAUCAGCACGGCCCUUACGUCCGGGGCUACACACGUGUUACAAUGGGGGGUACAGAAGGCGGCUACCUGGUGACAGGAUGCUAAUCCCAAAAACCUCUCUCAGUUCGGAUCGAAGUCUGCAACCCGACUUCGUGAAGCUGGAUUCGCUAGUAAUCGCGCGUCAGCCAUGGCGCGGUGAAUACGUUCCCGGGCCUUGUACACACCGCCCGUCAAGCCAUGAAAGCCGGGGGUACCUGAAGUACGUAACCGCAAGGAGCGUCCUAGGGUAAAACUAA
This 1434-nucleotide ribosomal RNA is filed under the name uncultured organism. RNAcentral describes it as "SSU rRNA". It matches the Rfam family "Bacterial small subunit ribosomal RNA". The record is from RNAcentral.